Molecule: unclassified non-coding RNA, 378 nt
Filed under: uncultured Chlamydiales bacterium
Lineage: Bacteria; Pseudomonadati; Chlamydiota; Chlamydiia; Chlamydiales
Description: contains 16S-23S intergenic spacer region
Source: RNAcentral
UCCUGGUUAACCCAGGCAGUCUCAUUAGAGUUCCCACCUAAAAGUGCUGGCAACUAAUGAUAAGGGUUGCGCUCGUUGCGGGACUUAACCCAACACCUCACGGCACGAGCUGACGACAGCCAUGCAGCACCUGUGUAACGGUCCUUGCGGAAAGCGACAUUUCUGCCGCGGUCCAUUACAUGUCAAGUCUGGGUAAGGUCCUUCGUGUAGCAUCGAAUUAAACCACAUGCUCCACUGCUUGUGCGGGCCCCCGUCAAUUCUUUUGAGUUUCACCCUUGCGAGCGUACUCCUCAGGCGGUAUACUUAUCGCGUUAGCUACGACACAGCUGGGGUUGAGACCAACUACAUCAAGUAUACAUCGUUUACGGCAAGGACUAC